CGAUUUCCUGCCCUUACCCAUACCGUGGGAUUUAUUUCUUUUUCAUCAUUUUCUGUUAAUAAUUUCAUUGCGACUGUUCUUCCUUUUUCACAGGUCUUCAAUCAUAAUCCUAAUUUGACUAUUAAAUCUCUCCCUAAUGUUAUAUAUGGAGUGGUAAUUCGUGUCGAGAAUAUGGUUGAUAUUAAUAAAGAAGGGGGAGAUUUAGGAAUGUGGCCAUGGGUUUGGAAAACCCCAUGAGUGAGACAACAUUAGACUCUUAACGAUGAGGCCAUCAGGAAUAUCAAAGAGUUUAGAGGGAACACAGGGUGAUUCAGGAGACUCUGUGCAGUCUCCGGUUUCUUGUUCUCCAGCUGGUUCUCUUUUUCUCCAGCUGGUAAGGCAUGGAUGUUUCUGUGUGUUUGCUGUUGUUACAUUCAAAGUUGUUUGACCAAUGAAAAGUUGUUUUGAAAAGAACUGCUGUGGGGAGAAGGGGAUAAGAGGGGAAACCGCCCUCAAGAUAAAAAAGGCAGCACGAUGAAGUUACAUCAAUAAAGAAGCAGGAAAAAGAAGUGAAGAGGAACAGGCUGGCAGAACGCAGACCAGGACGGUCUUCUGACACUUUGCUGUGCUGCAGGAGCGGGCUAGCUUGCAGCUUAACCUCCCUUGCCCCUGCUUUCAAGGGACUGGGAGGGUAAGGGGUGCAUUGUCCCAGUGCAUCCCAGCAACUCCUUGCACCUUCUGGCCGCUAGCAGCUCCUGGAAACUUCCCUCUCCGAGCUCUUGGCACCCCGAUGGCUGCGUUGGCUUUCUGCCUGAGGAGCCCUGAUGCCUUUGCUGGGAAGGGCAUCCCUUCCUGGCCAUGGUCUCAGCCAGGACUGUCUCUCCUGCAGAGGUUAGGCACAACGGAUUUGGCCACAUGGGACCGAAGAGGUGUCCUCGCACAGCCAGAGUCUGGAGGAGUCAUCGUCUUUCCCAGGAUUGGGCUCUACAUUCCAUCUGGAAGAGCUGCAGGGGGUAAUCCAGUUCAAAGUCCCGAGAAGAAGGCUGAAAAGAAGGGAGAGUCAAGGAUGGGGGAAGACUCCAACACAAAAGGUAACAUGAGAGCCGUCAUGCCCAAGACUCCGCCAAGGGUUUCUCUUACCAGCCCUCCUGUUGCCUCCUUAC
Molecule: long non-coding RNA, 1142 nt
Filed under: Anas platyrhynchos platyrhynchos (common mallard)
Lineage: Eukaryota; Metazoa; Chordata; Aves; Anseriformes; Anatidae
Description: lncRNA (ENSAPLG00000029219.1)
Source: RNAcentral